GCCCAGGCUGGAGUGCAGUGGCAUGAUUUCGGCUCACUGCAAGCUCCGCCUCCCGGGUUCAAAUGAUUCUCCUGCCUUAGCCUCCCAAGUAGCUGGGACUACAGGGGCGUGCCACCAGGCCUGGCUAAUUUUUUGUAUUUUUAGUAGAGAGGGGGUUUCACCAUGUUAGCCAGGAUGGUCUCGAUCUCCUGACCUUGUGAUCCACCUGCCUUGGCCUCCCAGAGUGCUGGGAUUACAGGCGUAAGCCACCGUGCCUGGCCGAUGCCACCUCUUCUUGAAAGCCUUCUCAAUUCCUCAAAAUACAUAAACCAAGGAUCCCUUUGUGUUCCUCUAUUUCUAGCCUCGUCCUUGUUUCCUUGGACUGUCAUUGUUUAUGGGGAUACCUCCUCCACUCACCUGAGUCCUGCAAGCAUAGUGAGUGGCUGAAUCCAAGCAACCUUUGGUCACCUUUGUGUUCUGGGCCUUUAGAGUGCCUGAUGCAUGGAGAACAGCCAUUUAUUCCUUUUUCUUUUCCUUAGGAGUUACCUUUCAUGGAAGGGUAAGCAGGAAGCAACUACAAGAUCAUCAUUUCAAAACAAUAUGAAAGCAGAAUGGGAAAUGCCACGGCAUGCUCCCUCUUUUCAGGCAAUAUGGACACUUUGGGGAAGUUAUGAAGCGUCUCCCAUUCCCGCUUGAGGUACUCAAUAGAGCCCACAAACACAAUGUGCUUGAGCUCAUGGUAAUGAAAGUUGCUGGCACGGAGCGGCAUCACCAGGUUCCGGAGGCCGAUCAGGGCUGAGCUGACAUCGCCAAAGAUGCAGACCACGACAUGGCCACUCAGGACGGUCAUGGCAGCUUCACUUCGAGUCUACAACAGGGAGAAGUGGGU
Molecule: non-coding RNA, 868 nt
Filed under: Pan troglodytes (chimpanzee)
Lineage: Eukaryota; Metazoa; Chordata; Mammalia; Primates; Hominidae
Source: RNAcentral